RNAcentral lists this signal recognition particle RNA (117 nucleotides) under Nomascus leucogenys (northern white-cheeked gibbon). Its description in RNAcentral is "Metazoan signal recognition particle RNA". It matches the Rfam family "Metazoan signal recognition particle RNA". Rfam says of the family: The signal recognition particle (SRP) is a universally conserved ribonucleoprotein. It is involved in the co-translational targeting of proteins to membranes. The record is from Rfam by way of RNAcentral. Lineage: Eukaryota; Metazoa; Chordata; Mammalia; Primates; Hylobatidae.
GCCGGGUGUGGUGGCUCACACCUGUAAUCCCAGCACUUUGGGAGGCCGAGGCAGGAGGAUCACCUGAGGUCAGGAGUUCGAGACUAGCCUGACCAACAUGGAGAAACCCUGUCUCUA